AUACGUAGGGUGCAAGCGUUAAUCGGAAUUACUGGGCGUAAAGCGUGCGCAGGCGGUUCGGAAAGAAAGAUGUGAAAUCCCAGGGCUUAACCUUGGAACUGCAUUUUUAACUGUAGAACUCGAGUAUGUCAGAGGGGGGUAGAAUUCCACGUGUAGCAGUGAAAUGCGUAGAGAUGUGGAGGAAUACCGAUGGCGAAGGCAGCCCCCUGGGAUAAUACUGACGCUCAUGCACGAAAGCGUGGGGAGCAAACAGGAUUAGAUACCCUGGUAGUCCACGCCCUAAACGAUGUCAACUAGCUGUUGGGGCCUUCGGGCCUUAGUAGCGCAGCUAACGCGUGAAGUUGACCGCCUGGGGAGUACGGUCGCAAGAUUAAAACUCAAAUGAAUUGACGGGG
RNAcentral lists this ribosomal RNA (395 nucleotides) under uncultured bacterium. RNAcentral's name for it is "partial 16S ribosomal RNA". It matches the Rfam family "Bacterial small subunit ribosomal RNA", at positions 523 to 918 of the family's 1533-position model. The record is from RNAcentral.